Molecule: long non-coding RNA, 214 nt
Filed under: Lathyrus oleraceus (garden pea)
Lineage: Eukaryota; Viridiplantae; Streptophyta; Magnoliopsida; Fabales; Fabaceae
Description: Pisum sativum (pea) long non-coding RNA (PSAT_LNC006705)
Source: RNAcentral
UUACUUAGAAACACCAUAAAACUUAUCUGAAUAAAAUUGAAUCAAUACGUCAUAAUCAAAAUCUCAUAAUAGUUGAUUACAAACAAAUCAAAGUAUGCAAAUGAACGUCGUUAUCCCCAGUGUUACAGAUCAGAGCAUUCUUAUUUGAAUACUAGAAUAUAAGGAAGAUAAAAGUCUACUGAGAGGCAAUAGCCAUCUCACCGCAACAACGAAC